AUAGCCGUCUCUGGCUCGUGCUCUCAUGUCAUCUCAGAGUUCCAGCUUAUCAGAGGCAUGUAGCAGGGAGGCUUAUUCCAGCCAUAACUGGGCUCUACCUCCAGCCUCCAGAAGUAAUCCCCAACCUGCAUAUCCUUGGGCAACCCGAAGAAUGAAAGAAGAAGCUAUAAAACCCCCUUUGAAAGCUUUCAUGAAGCAGAGGAGGAUGGGUCUGAACGACUUUAUUCAGAAGAUUGCCAAUAACUCCUAUGCAUGCAAACACCCUGAAGUUCAGUCCAUCUUGAAAAUCUCCCAACCUCAGGAGCCUGAGCUUAUGAAUGCCAACCCUUCUCCUCCAGUAAGUUUUUGUAUGUGCCGUGCAUCUGUGGAGAACUGUAAGGGAGUCAGUUAGUAUUCCUACAUUAAUGGAUUAAAAUAGCAUUUCUAGAAAUUAGUAUCAAGGCAGGAAUGCUUCAUUAUGGCAUAACAAGUGAUAUAAAUAUUUAAGUAUUGAGUCAGAGUAUUAUUUUUUUUCCUGGGCAUAUUUUACUUCCAAAG
Molecule: small RNA, 537 nt
Filed under: Pan troglodytes (chimpanzee)
Lineage: Eukaryota; Metazoa; Chordata; Mammalia; Primates; Hominidae
Description: retained intron
Source: RNAcentral